GGUAAGGACGCUGCCUGUUCAUGCAGUCGAGCGGACAGAAGGGAGCUUGCUCCCGGAUGUUAGCGGCGGACGGGUGAGUAACACGUGGGUAACCUGCCUGUAAGACUGGGAUAACUCCGGGAAACCGGAGCUAAUACCGGAUAGUUCCUUGAACCGCAUGGUUCAAGGAUGAAAGACGGUUUCGGCUGUCACUUACAGAUGGACCCGCGGCGCAUUAGCUAGUUGGUGGGGUAAUGGCUCACCAAGGCGACGAUGCGUAGCCGACCUGAGAGGGUGAUCGGCCACACUGGGACUGAGACACGGCCCAGACUCCUACGGGAGGCAGCAGUAGGGAAUCUUCCGCAAUGGACGAAAGUCUGACGGAGCAACGCCGCGUGAGUGAUGAAGGUUUUCGGAUCGUAAAGCUCUGUUGUUAGGGAAGAACAAGUGCGAGAGUAACUGCUCGCACCUUGACGGUACCUAACCAGAAAGCCACGGCUAACUACGUGCCAGCAGCCGCGGUAAUACGUAGGUGGCAAGCGUUGUCCGGAAUUAUUGGGCGUAAAGGGCUCGCAGGCGGUUUCUUAAGUCUGAUGUGAAAGCCCCCGGCUCAACCGGGGAGGGUCAUUGGAAACUGGGAAACUUGAGUGCAGAAGAGGAGAGUGGAAUUCCACGUGUAGCGGUGAAAUGCGUAGAGAUGUGGAGGAACACCAGUGGCGAAGGCGACUCUCUGGUCUGUAACUGACGCUGAGGAGCGAAAGCGUGGGGAGCGAACAGGAUUAGAUACCCUGGUAGUCCACGCCGUAAACGAUGAGUGCUAAGUGUUAGGGGGGUUUCCGCCCCUUAGUGCUGCAGCUAACGCAUUAAGCACUCCGCCUGGGCGAGUACGGUCGCAAGACUGAAACUCAAAGGAAUUGACGGGGGCCCGCACAAGCGGUGGAGCAUGUGGUUUUAAUUCGAAGCAACGCGAAGAACCUUACCAGGUCUUGACAUCCUCUGACAACCCUAGAGAUAGGGCUUUUCCUUUCGGGGACAGAGUGACAGGUGGUUGCAUGGGUUGUCGUCCGCUUCGUGUCCGUGA
This 1060-nucleotide ribosomal RNA is filed under the name Bacillus sp. (in: firmicutes). RNAcentral describes it as "bacterial SSU rRNA". It matches the Rfam family "Bacterial small subunit ribosomal RNA", at positions 35 to 1070 of the family's 1533-position model. Lineage: Bacteria; Bacillati; Bacillota; Bacilli; Caryophanales; Bacillaceae. The record is from RNAcentral.